CCCAGACUCCUACGGGAGGCAGCAGUGAGGAAUAUUGGUCAAUGGCCGAAGGGCUGAACCAGCCAAGCCGCGUGAAGGAAUAAGGCCCUACGGGUCGUAAACUUCUUUAGUCAGGGAACAAAGGGUGCCACGUGUGGCGCUGUGAGUGUACCUGAAGAAUAAGCAUCGGCUAACUCCGUGCCAGCAGCCGCGGUAAUACGGAGGAUGCGAGCGUUAUCCGGAUUUAUUGGGUUUAAAGGGUGCGUAGGCGGGUUGGUAAAGUCGGGGGAAAAAGCCGGGGGCCCAACCCCGGCGAGCCGUUGAAACUGGCGGGCUGGAGUUGGAGAGAAGUACGCGGAAUGCGCGGUGUAGCGGUGAAAUGCUUAGAUAUCGCGCAGAACCCCGAUUGCGAAGGCAGCGUACCGGCUCCACACUGACGCUGAGGCACGAAAGCGUGGGUAUCGAACAGGAUUAGAUACCCGAGUAUA
This 467-nucleotide ribosomal RNA is filed under the name uncultured bacterium. RNAcentral's name for it is "bacterial SSU rRNA". It matches the Rfam family "Bacterial small subunit ribosomal RNA", at positions 330 to 794 of the family's 1533-position model. The record is from RNAcentral.